This 811-nucleotide ribosomal RNA is filed under the name uncultured bacterium. Its description in RNAcentral is "bacterial SSU rRNA". It matches the Rfam family "Bacterial small subunit ribosomal RNA", at positions 56 to 878 of the family's 1533-position model. The record is from RNAcentral.
UGCAAGUCGAACGAUUAAAGCUCUCUUCGGAGAGUGUAUAGAGUGGCGCACGGGUGAGUAACACGUAAGUAAUCUGCCUUCGAGUGGGGAAUAACGUUCGGAAACGAACGCUAAUACCGCAUAAUGCAGCGGCACCGCAAGGUGACAGUUGUUAAAGGAGCAAUCCGCUUGAAGAGGAGCUUGCGGCAGAUUAGCUAGUUGGUAAGGUAAUGGCUUACCAAGGCUACGAUCUGUAACCGGUCUUAGAGGACGGUCGGUCACACUGACACUGAAUAACGGGUCAGACUCCUACGGGAGGCAGCAGUCGGGAAUUUUGGGCAAUGGGCGAAAGCCUGACCCAGCAACGCCGCGUGAAGGAUGAAGUAUUUCGGUAUGUAAACUUCGAAAGAAUAGGAAGAAUAAAUGACGGUACUAUUUAUAAGGUCCGGCUAACUACGUGCCAGCAGCCGCGGUAAUACGUAGGGACCAAGCGUUGUUCGGAUUUACUGGGCGUAAAGGGCGCGUAGGCGGCUCUGUAAGUCACUUGUGAAAUCUCUGAGCUUAACUCAGAACGGCCAAGUGAUACUGCAGUGCUAGAGUGUAGAAGGGGCAAUCGGAAUUCUUGGUGUAGCGGUGAAAUGCGUAGAUAUCAAGAGGAACACCUGAGGUGAAGACGGGUUGCUGGUCUAACACUGACGCUGAGGCGCGAAAGCCAGGGGAGCAAACGGGAUUAGAUACCCCGGUAGUCCUGGCCCUAAACGAUGAAUACUUGGUGUCUGGAACUCUAAAGUUCUGGGUGCCGUCGCUAACGUUUUAAGUAUUCCGCCUGGGG